Molecule: long non-coding RNA, 1358 nt
Organism: Scophthalmus maximus (turbot)
Lineage: Eukaryota; Metazoa; Chordata; Actinopteri; Pleuronectiformes; Scophthalmidae
Exons: 4
Source: RefSeq, a predicted model, not a curated record
CGUCAAAUCACUGCCCCCGCUGGCGCGCGCGUGGCGGUAUCGAGCUAGCUUGAUUACGAAAAGUUUGUCUUGGUAGAAUUUGACUUUGUGGCAGAACUUCCGUUGUUUUUGUUUUUUGACCACUCCAGGGCGGAGUCUUCUGCUCCACAUGUCGAGCUCGAAGGCGACUCUUUUAACAAUGUUUUUAUUUUUUUAUUGUUAUCCCAGAACGCGCCUCUUCGCACCGGCCAGGAUCAGGUCAUCUCCCUCCAGGGAGGAGUCGGCCGUCACAUGGACUGCCUUAAUGGUCCCAGCCAACGGGGAGUUGACCACAGUCUCCAUCUUCAUGGCCGAGAGCACACACAGCGGCUGACCCUUCUCCACCUGUCACCAUUACAAAGGACUUUUCCAGGCAUGGGUGCUCCCACUUGACCCUUGAUAGACUUCUGGGCCUUGGGGUGGAACUUCAUUUCCUGUGUGGAGGAACAAAGAGAGAUUUCAUGCAUCCAUCUGUCGCAGGUCGUUCCUUCCUGCAGCUGCUCCCAGUCGACCACAUGAUCCACAGUCUGCACUAUGAAGUCACUCAGUGUCUUUAACCAGUACAGAUCUCAGCUGUCCGUUGAGCUCGAAGAAGACCUCUCUCUGACCGGCCUUGUUCAGGUCACCCAGUGCCAGCGCCUUGAUGUGGAGGAUCUUCCCUCUCUCCAGCUCCACCUGAGAGGGGAGGAGGACAGAAAUUAUAUUACAGUUUGAGUUUUGUCCAGCUAAAGCAAUAAAAUACAGACAGCAGCACCUGAUUAAAGUUAGUGGGGCGAGGCAAACAGAAUGUUUACUUCUCUACUUUUUUCUUUUCACCCUCUCAUAUUGGAAUAUGCAAUGUUUCUCUUUACUGAUGGUGCUGUGGUGGCUUAUGUAUUGUCAUCAGUACAUGCUUCUGUUGUUUAGAGGCCAGCCAAACAAACUUGAGUUUCCUAUGGGCAUCCAUGUUUUCCAUGCGCUGGAACAACAGCACACAUUUUGACUGGUCAUAGGUGUUAUUAAUAACACUAUAGUAAAACAUAACACCAACUUUCACAACACCAGGCCAUGAAACUGAGGCAGCUCAAUGGAAUUUGUUAUGCCCAACUAUACUAUGAUGUUUUUAACAUUUUAAUGCUUUACUACUGUAUGUAGUGUCUUGAGAUAAUGUAUGGCAUGAUUUGGUGCUAUACAAAUAAUAUUGAAUUCAAUUGGAUUGUUGUAUAUUUUUUCAGUAUUUAUGCCAUACUACUAUGCUGUUUAAGGCCUUACUACACUAUGCCAUCUCAUGCCUCGUUAUAUUAUGGCGUUUUAUGCUGUUUGUAUGCCAUAAUAAACAAUGCCCUUUUUUCGCCAUACUA